Molecule: unclassified non-coding RNA, 37 nt
Organism: Vulpes vulpes (red fox)
Lineage: Eukaryota; Metazoa; Chordata; Mammalia; Carnivora; Canidae
Source: Ensembl
UGGCCCAUCGGGGCUUCGGAUACCUGCUUUUAUUUUU